This 578-nucleotide ribosomal RNA is filed under the name fungal sp. E14804F. Its description in RNAcentral is "eukaryotic LSU rRNA". The stretch from base 217 to 370 matches the Rfam family "5.8S ribosomal RNA". The record is from RNAcentral. Lineage: Eukaryota; Fungi.
GAACCUGCGGAGGGAUCAUUACAGAGUUUUCUAAACUCCCAACCCUAUGUGAACUUACCUUUGUUGCUUCGGCGGCGGAGGCUACCCUGCGGGAGAAUACCACUUAGUGGUUACCCUGUAGUUUCAGGUACAUCAGCUACCCGGUAGUCAUCCCCGCCGGCGGCCAACUAAACUCUGUUUUCUUUGGAAUUCUGAAUAACAAACUUAAUAAGUUAAAACUUUCAACAACGGAUCUCUUGGUUCUGGCAUCGAUGAAGAACGCAGCGAAAUGCGAUAAGUAAUGUGAAUUGCAGAAUUCAGUGAAUCAUCGAAUCUUUGAACGCACAUUGCGCCCAUUAGCAUUCUAGUGGGCAUGCCUGUUCGAGCGUCAUUUCACCACUUAAGCCUUGUUGCUUAGCGUUGGGAGCCUACGGCACGGCCCGUAGCUCCUUAAAGUGAUUGGCGGAGUUGGUUCUCACUCUAAGCGUAGUAAUUAUAUCUCGCUUCUGUAGUGGUCCCGGCCCCUGCCGUAAAACCCCUUAUACAAAGGUUGACCUCGGAUCAGGUAGGAAUACCCGCUGAACUUAAGCAUAUCAAUA